ACAAGUUUAUAUCUGUUGACUUACAAUGCUUUUUUGCUUGCAAUUGACGGAGGGUGUUCUCAUAGAUCAGACAUGAAAUCAAAAUGUACAGAAUAAGGUCAACUUCAAACGAAAAUUUUCUUGGGAACCUUAAACCAACUUACAACUUUCAACGAGCUUUGACUGGAGUGACAACAGGGGAGACUUCCUCAGUUUCGAACUUGGAUACCCAAGAUUUUUCACUCAUGUGAGGAGAUGAUUGACUGAGUACACUGAGGUUGAAGACAACCUCCCCCAUCGUUGGUCUCUCCAAGGAAUUCUCCGACGUACAAGCUGUAGCCAACAUUGUCAAGCUUAGAGCGUCAUCAAUGGGCAUCACAACUUCACCAUCAUCCUUCGUCUCCAUGACUUUCUUUCCUGAGAGCAACUCCAGGAGCACGACUCCAAAAGAGAACACAUCAAUGUUUAACAUGACAGAUGAAGUAGCUGGUCUUGCUGCAGAUAAAUUU
This is a long non-coding RNA of Salvia splendens (bonfire salvia), 488 nucleotides long. RefSeq lists it as uncharacterized. The transcript is spliced from 3 exons. Lineage: Eukaryota; Viridiplantae; Streptophyta; Magnoliopsida; Lamiales; Lamiaceae. The record is from RefSeq and is a predicted model, not a curated record.